AUUGAACGCUGGCGGCAGGCUUAACACAUGCAAGUCGAGCGAACGGCGGACGGGUGAGUCAUGUAUGGGAAACUGCCUGAUGGAGGGGGAUAACUUCUGGAAACGGUAGCUAAUACCGCAUACCAUCAGCUGUGCCCAGAUGGGAUUAGCUCGUAUGUGGGGUAAUGGCUAACCUAGACUACGAUGCCUAGCUGGGCUGAGAGGAUGACCAGCCACACUGGAACUGAGAGACGGUCCAGACUCCUACGGGAGGCAGCAGUGGGGAAUAGUCGACAAUGGGCGAAAGCCUGACGCAGCAAUGCCGCGUGUGUGAAGAAGGCCUUCGGGUUGUAAAGCUCUUGCAGCAAGGAGGCGUUACUCACAGAAGAAGCACCGGCUAACUCCGUACCAGCCGCCGCGGUAAUAC
Molecule: ribosomal RNA, 406 nt
Filed under: uncultured bacterium
Lineage: Bacteria
Description: partial 16S ribosomal RNA
Rfam family: Bacterial small subunit ribosomal RNA
Source: RNAcentral